Molecule: ribosomal RNA, 411 nt
Filed under: uncultured bacterium
Lineage: Bacteria
Description: bacterial SSU rRNA
Rfam family: Bacterial small subunit ribosomal RNA
Source: RNAcentral
UGCCAGCAGCCGCGGUAAUACGUAGGUGGCAAGCGUUGUCCGGAUUUAUUGGGUUUAAAGGGUGCGUAGGCGGCCUAAUAAGUCAGUGCUGAAAUAUCCCGGCUUAACCGGGAGGGUGGCAUUGAUACUGUCAGGCUUGAGUGUAGUCGAGGUAGGCGGAAUUGACGGUGUAGCGGUGAAAUGCUUAGAUAUCGUCAAGAACACCGAUAGUGUAGACAGCUUACUAGGCUACAACUGACGCUGAGGCACGAAAGUGUGGGGAUCAAACAGGAUUAGAUACCCUGGUAGUCCACACUGUAAACGUUGAUUACUCGCUGUUGGCGAUACACAGUCAGCGGCUUAGCGAAAGCGAUAAGUAAUCCACCUGGGGAGUACGCCGGCAACGGUGAAACUUAAAGGAAUUGGCGGGGG